GACGAACGCUGGCGGUGUGCCUAACACAUGCAAGUCGAGCGAAUGAAGUUCCUUCGGGAACGGAUUUAGCGGCGGACGGGUGAGUAACACGUGGGCAACCUGCCUCAUAGAGGGGAAUAGCCUUCCGAAAGGGAGAUUAAUACCGCAUAAGAUUGUAGUACCGCAUGGUACAGCAAUUAAAGGAGCAAUCCGCUAUGAGAUGGGCCCGCGGCGCAUUAGCUAGUUGGUGAGGUAACGGCUCACCAAGGCGACGAUGCGUAGCCGACCUGAGAGGGUGAUCGGCCACAUUGGGACUGAGACACGGCCCAGACUCCUACGGGAGGCAGCGGUGGGGAAUAUUGCACAAUGGGGGAAACCCUGAUGCAGCAACGCCGCGUGAGUGAUGACGGCCUUCGGGUUGUAAAGCUCUUUUGUCCGGGAAGAUAAUGACUGUACCGGAAGAAUAAGCCCCGGCAAACUUCGUGCCAGCAGCCGCAGUAA
This 480-nucleotide ribosomal RNA is filed under the name uncultured bacterium. Its description in RNAcentral is "partial 16S ribosomal RNA". It matches the Rfam family "Bacterial small subunit ribosomal RNA", at positions 28 to 523 of the family's 1533-position model. The record is from RNAcentral.